ACCUGCACUGCAGAUGGGAUUCAAACACAAUCUUCCAACUGAAGCUGCACAACUCGUCUCAGGACAUAAUGAAGCUCAGGCUCUUUAUGUCCGUGCAGAAGGAUUUCAGCAAGAGGCAAAGUGAUAGGCUUCCCAGGUGGUGCUAGUGGAAAAGAACCCACCUGCCAGCGCAGGAGAUGCAGGAGAUGCAGGUUCGAUCCCUGGGUCAGGAAGAUCCCCUGGAGGAUGGCACGGCAACUGACUCCAAUACCUGGAGAAUCCCACGGACAGAGGAACCUAGGAGCACUUGAGGCACAGGGUUUGCGGCAAAGUUAAUUAUCACCUAGAUAUGAAGACUGAAGAUGCCAAGACUGUAAACAGAAGUCAGAAAUUAUGGCUCCAGGCCUCCUAUUCUCUGCUGAUUUACUCAGUUGUCAUCUUCCUUUUGCCACCCAUUGCCCUACUUCUUCAAUAAAAUGAGCUCUUGCCUAA
Bos taurus (domestic cattle) is the source of this 471-nucleotide long non-coding RNA. The record is from Ensembl. NCBI's taxonomy places the organism in Eukaryota, Metazoa, Chordata, Mammalia, Artiodactyla, Bovidae.